Molecule: small nuclear RNA, 304 nt
Filed under: Marmota marmota marmota (Alpine marmot)
Lineage: Eukaryota; Metazoa; Chordata; Mammalia; Rodentia; Sciuridae
Description: 7SK RNA (ENSMMMG00000021364.1)
Rfam family: 7SK RNA
About the family: 7SK was discovered as an abundant small nuclear RNA in the mid-70s but a possible function has only recently been suggested.
Source: Rfam by way of RNAcentral
GGAUGUGAGUGCGAUCUGACUGCGACAUCUGUCACCCCAUUGAUCACCAGGGUUGAUUCGGCUGAUCUGGCUGGCUAGGAAGGUGUCCCUUUCCUUCCUCACCGCUCCAUGUAAGUCCCUCCCAAAGCUGCGCUUGGUCAAAGAGGACGUCUUCGGUCAAGGGUAUAUGAGUAGCUGCGCUCCCCUGCUAGAACCUCCAAACAAGCUCUCAAGUUUUACAGUUUUUACUAAUAUUUUAUAUCUUAGUGAUUCAUGAUAGCAAAGUACUACCAUUGUCCAUGCCUUUAGCAAGCAGUUUUUUUUU